AAUGGAGGAAACUCUGAUGCAGCGAUGCCGCGUGAGUGAAGAAGGCCUUUGGGUUGUAAAGCUCUUUCGUCGGGGAAGAAAAUGACUGUACCCGAAUAAGAAGGUCCGGCUAACUUCGUGCCAGCAGCCGCGGUAAUACGAAGGGACCUAGCGUAGUUCGGAAUUACUGGGCUUAAAGAGUUCGUAGGUGGUUGAAAAAGUUGGUGGUGAAAUCCCAGAGCUUAACUCUGGAACUGCCAUCAAAACUUUUCAGCUAGAGUAUGAUAGAGGAAAGUAGAAUUUCUAGUGUAGAGGUGAAAUUCGUAGAUAUUAGAAAGAAUACCAAUUGCGAAGGCAGCUUUCUGGAUCAUUACUGACACUGAGGAACGAAAGCAUGGGUAGCGAAGAGGAUU
RNAcentral lists this ribosomal RNA (392 nucleotides) under uncultured Gammaproteobacteria bacterium. RNAcentral's name for it is "bacterial SSU rRNA". It matches the Rfam family "Bacterial small subunit ribosomal RNA", at positions 370 to 779 of the family's 1533-position model. The record is from RNAcentral. Lineage: Bacteria; Pseudomonadati; Pseudomonadota; Gammaproteobacteria.